Long non-coding RNA from Topomyia yanbarensis, 615 nucleotides. RefSeq lists it as uncharacterized. Lineage: Eukaryota; Metazoa; Arthropoda; Insecta; Diptera; Culicidae. The transcript has 3 exons. The record is from RefSeq and is a predicted model, not a curated record.
GUGAAAUACAGCACAGUAAAUUAUACAGUAAUACUCAGAAAUAAUUGUAUAAUUACUUUCAAUUCGUGAACCAAUAAGAUAAGUGAAUUCUCUACAGAACUGUACAAGUUUUUAUAAUCAAUUCUAUGAACAGAAUAAACCAACCAAGUUUAAUUAAGAUGACCACGAGUAUUGACUGCCCCGCGAACUGAACAAGUUUUCCAUAACCAAGUGUUCCGACAGCUUACAGACGUUGAUGUGCGGAAACAUACCCAUUUAUGAGUAUCAGAAGUACUCAGUUUUAGAUUCCAUUCCAGCUGUCAUAAAUUGGGUGCUUUUACAAAUAAGAAAUUGGGUAAUAUAUUACCCAUCCGAUGAUUGGAAUUCAACAAAAAAAAAAUGGAGUCGACAACUGAGGACUUGAAAUAUUCUAUUGCAUUCAGUACUCUAAAAUAUUAAUCUCAACAAGGACUUUUUGCACGCUCUAGGAUGGAUGAGUAAAAAUAGCCCUAAACUUUGUGACAGUGGUCUUCUUGGUGAUAAUAAGACUAUAACGGCACGGUUUAAGAUGCGAACGUACAUUGCGAAGGCGUUAUGCGACAGCAGAGCUACAGUGGAUGUCCUGCUUCUAGAGAG